UACCACUUUUUUGGUUCUUGGACUACCUAUUUAGGUAGAGCCCCGUUUACACUACGCUCAAUUUUUGGUAUACCACUUUUUUACCUAAAUAGGUAGUCCAAGAACCAAAAAAGUGGCAC
Paramuricea clavata is the source of this 119-nucleotide non-coding RNA. NCBI's taxonomy places the organism in Eukaryota, Metazoa, Cnidaria, Anthozoa, Malacalcyonacea, Plexauridae. The record is from the annotation of a GenBank genome assembly.